GGGCGCGGCGUAGGGCGGGCGCUCGGCUGCGCUUGCGGAGGAGAGAGGAGGCCGCGACGGCCGCCCGCCGUGCGGCGUCGUUGUGCGCGUGCGCGGCUCGCGUGGGGCGCGGGGACGCUGCCCGUAAGGCCCCGCAGGAGGGACCUGGCGUUGAGGCGGGGGCGGCUCUGUGGGAGAAUGAAAAGAUAAUCAGAACCAGCCCCCCUGCUUUCCCAGGUUAUCUUAUCCAGAUGAAGACAGCAGUGACCAGACCUCCAAGGGAAAAAUUCAUUGAAACUCUGUUAUCAGAGAGUCUGAGAAUCAACGCAACCAAGAAGAUUGAUCUAUUGGAGAGGGGGGAGUUGAAACUAAGCAAAGGAGUAUCUAAAACUUAAGAGGAAUGUUUGAAUCAUGCAUAAGAAUGGAUGGAUAUGCAAGAAAUCGGUGCUUUUAAGGGACGAUCCUUUGUUAGUAAGGUGUGCUCUUGGUUGAAUGGUGAAGUACCCGGCCAUAUUUGUUAAUUUUGCUUUAUUUCUGUCUCCUAAUUGUCUUUUUAUUAAACUUUCAAAAUUAUACCGAAAA
Molecule: long non-coding RNA, 561 nt
Organism: Parus major (Great Tit)
Lineage: Eukaryota; Metazoa; Chordata; Aves; Passeriformes; Paridae
Exons: 2
Source: RefSeq, a predicted model, not a curated record